RNAcentral lists this ribosomal RNA (361 nucleotides) under Clostridioides difficile. Its description in RNAcentral is "partial 23S ribosomal RNA". It matches the Rfam family "Bacterial large subunit ribosomal RNA", at positions 753 to 1114 of the family's 2925-position model. The record is from RNAcentral. Lineage: Bacteria; Bacillati; Bacillota; Clostridia; Peptostreptococcales; Peptostreptococcaceae.
AAAGUAAAAUUUCGUGGAGGUCCGAACCCACGAGCGUUGAAAAGCUCGGGGAUGACUUGUGGGUAGCGGUGAAAUUCCAAUCGAGCCCGGAGAUAGCUGGUUCUCCCCGAAAUAGCUUUAGGGCUAGCCUCAAGGGGAGAGAUACGGAGGUAGAGCACUGAAUGUCCUAGGGGGUAUUGCACCUACCGAAGACUAUCAAACUCCGAAUGCCGUCAUCUUAUACUUGGGAGUCAGACUGUGGGUGAUAAGAUUCAUAGUCGAAAGGGCAACAGCCCAGAUCGUCAGCUAAGGUCCCUAAAUGUAAGUUAAGUGGUAAAGGAUGUGGGAUUGCACAGACAACCAGGAUGUUGGCUUAGAAGCA